This 71-nucleotide transfer RNA is filed under the name Thiothrix sp. Its description in RNAcentral is "tRNA-Pro". It matches the Rfam family "tRNA". From Rfam's summary of the family: Transfer RNA (tRNA) molecules are approximately 80 nucleotides in length. Their secondary structure includes four short double-helical elements and three loops (D, anti-codon, and T loops). RNAcentral also lists the same sequence under 1 other name. Lineage: Bacteria; Pseudomonadati; Pseudomonadota; Gammaproteobacteria; Thiotrichales; Thiotrichaceae. The record is from RNAcentral.
AUCGCUAUAGCUCAGUUUGGUAGAGCACUUGAUUUGGUAUCAAGCUGUCGCCGGUUCGACUCCGGCUAGUG